RNAcentral lists this ribosomal RNA (468 nucleotides) under uncultured bacterium. RNAcentral describes it as "partial 16S ribosomal RNA". It matches the Rfam family "Bacterial small subunit ribosomal RNA", at positions 28 to 507 of the family's 1533-position model. The record is from RNAcentral.
GACGAACGCUGGCGGCGCGUCUAACACAUGCAAGUCGAACGGAGUCAAGAGGAGCUUGCUUUUCUUGACUUAGUGGCGAACGGGUGAGUAACGCGUGAGUAACCUGCCCUGGAGUGGGGGACAACAGUUGGAAACGACUGCUAAUACCGCAUAAGCCCACGGAUCCGCAUGGAUCUGCGGGAAAAGGAUUUAUUCGCUUCAGGAUGGACUCGCGUCCAAUUAGCUAGUUGGUGAGGUAACGGCCCACCAAGGCGACGAUUGGUAGCCGGACUGAGAGGUUGAACGGCCACAUUGGGACUGAGACACGGCCCAGACUCCUACGGGAGGCAGCAGUGGGGGAUAUUGCACAAUGGGGGAAACCCUGAUGCAGCGACGCCGCGUGGAGGAAGAAGGUUUUCGGAUUGUAAACUCCUGUCGUGAGGGACGAUAAUGACGGUACCUAACAAGAAAGCACCGGCUAACUACGUG